RNAcentral lists this long non-coding RNA (238 nucleotides) under Mytilus galloprovincialis (Mediterranean mussel). Lineage: Eukaryota; Metazoa; Mollusca; Bivalvia; Mytilida; Mytilidae. The record is from RNAcentral.
GCGCGUUUCGUCUACAUAAGACUCAUCAGUGACGCUCAGAUCAAAAUAGUUAAAAAGCCAAAUAAAUACAAAGUUGAAGAGCAUUGAGGAUCAAAAAUUCCUAAAAGUUGUGCCAAAUAUGGCUAAGGUAAUCUACUCCUGAGGUAAGAAAAUCCUUAGUUUUUCGAAAAAUUCAAAGUUUUGUAAACAGAAAAUUUAUAAAAAUGACCAUAUAAUUGAUAUUCAUGUCAACACCGAA